GACGAACGCUGGCGGCGUGCCUAAUACAUGCAAGUAGAACGCUGAAGGAGGAGCUUGCUCUUCUGGAUGAGUUGCGAACGGGUGAGUAACGCGUAGGUAACCUGCCUGGUAGCGGGGGAUAACUAUUGGAAACGAUAGCUAAUACCGCAUAAGAGUAGAUGUUGCAUGACAUUUACUUAAAAGGUGCAAUUGCAUCACUACCAGAUGGACCUGCGUUGUAUUAGCUAGUUGGUGGGGUAACGGCUCACCAAGGCGACGAUAGAUAGCCGACCUGAGAGGGUGAUCGGCCACACUGGGACUGAGACACGGCCCAGACUCCUACGGGAGGCAGCAGUAGGGAAUCUUCGGCAAUGGACGGAAGUCUGACCGAGCAACGCCGCGUGAGUGAAGAAGGUUUUCGGAUCGUAAAGCUCUGUUGUAAGAGAAGAACGAGUGUGAGAGUGGAAAGUUCACACUGUGACG
RNAcentral lists this ribosomal RNA (462 nucleotides) under Streptococcus mitis. RNAcentral describes it as "bacterial SSU rRNA". It matches the Rfam family "Bacterial small subunit ribosomal RNA", at positions 28 to 474 of the family's 1533-position model. The record is from RNAcentral. Lineage: Bacteria; Bacillati; Bacillota; Bacilli; Lactobacillales; Streptococcaceae.